GACGAACGCUGGCGGCGUGCCUAACACAUGCAAGUCGAACGGGGUGAAGAGCUUCGGCUUUUCACUUAGUGGCGAACGGGUGAGUAACGCGUGAGAAACCUGCCUUUCAGUGGGGGACAACAGUUGGAAACGACUGCUAAUACCGCAUAAUGUAUUUUGGGGGCAUCCCUUGAAUACCAAAGCUUUAUGUGCUGAAAGAUGGUCUCGCGUCUGAUUAGCUAGUUGGUGAGGUAACGGCUCACCAAGGCGACGAUCAGUAGCCGGUCUGAGAGGAUGAACGGCCACAUUGGGACUGAGAUACGGCCCAGACUCCUACGGGAGGCAGCAGUGGGGGGAUAUUGCGCAAUGGGGGAAACCCUGACGCAGCAACGCCGCGUGCAGGAUGACGGCCUUCGGUUGUAAACUGUUGUCGCAAGGGAAGAAAAAAUAGACGGUACCUUGUGAGAAAGACCACGGCUAACUACGUG
RNAcentral lists this ribosomal RNA (467 nucleotides) under uncultured bacterium. RNAcentral describes it as "bacterial SSU rRNA". It matches the Rfam family "Bacterial small subunit ribosomal RNA", at positions 28 to 507 of the family's 1533-position model. The record is from RNAcentral.